UAUGGACUUAUUUCUGCAAAUUUAUGUUAAUUAUUGGUGGAUCUAUUAUCUAUAUAUACAUUUCUAUUUUUUAUUUACAGCAGUAUCACUAAGAAGUCUUCAAAUUAGGUUUAUGGACUUAAUUCUGCAAAUUUUAUGUUAAUUAAUGGUGGAUUUAUAGAUACAUUCUUAUCUCUGCAAUUGUAUCAGAAAAGGAGGAGGCUCGGUUGCUACACGACUUUAUUUCUGUAAGUUCGUUAUUUUCUUAGAACGGCUAACUCACACACUCUAAACCUACAAAUAAAUUUACAACAACACCUUUACUAUAUGUUGAUACCGUUAGAUUACAAGCCGUUUGGUUUGUAUUGUCUGUACUAGUUACUAGGGUUUUGAAGUAAAAAGGUGUACGUUUAAUUUUCUUUGAUUUCACUUUUAGGUACUUAAAAAGUUAUCAAUUGUUUAGUUAAAUUUACAGAAAUAAAAAACCUUUAAUAAUUGUUCCAAGCAGUUUGACCUAAAAACGGUCAAAACCUUCGGCUACAUGAAUAUCUAUAUCUAUAUAUCAUUAUAUAUUAUUACAGAUGCAUAAUCGAUUGACUAAUUACCUUGCUUAUCGAAAAGUUAUAUAUUGUUAUAUGCACUAUUUAAUUUAAUUACCCAACUUUUGGUAGUUUUUAAUAUAUUUAGGUUAACUUUUAUGCAACACUGUUCAUUAAACUAAAUUUAUAUAUCUUUAUAUUUAAUCAUUUAAAAUUAAAAAAUAUGUUUUCUUUUCUGUAUAUCAGCAUUAAUUAACUUGUAAAAUUACUACAUAUAAAUACAAUAACAAAGUUUAUAUAUAUAUUGAAAUUAUAUUUGUUUUUUUUUAUUCAUUUAUGAAUGUUUUUACAUUUAGGAAUUCCUGAUAGGUAAAAUAUAUAAGAUAUGUACAAUAAAGGUAUAAUUUUGAUGUUUGUUAUGUAAAUGUAAUGUUUGUAGUAUGUUAUUAACUUUAGGUUUGUUAUUUUAAAAAUUUUUGUAUAGUAGUAUUUAAUAGUAUUUAUACAAAAAAGUUACUAAAAUAUACCAAUUUAUUUCUUUUAUUCUGUUUUAAAUUUCCCCCAAAAAUGACAAGAGACAUCCUAGCUCCCACUAUAUGUUAACUCACGAAGGGUCUCUUUCAAUUUUUUUAAGUUUUGUUGCAUCAAAUAUCUAUCAAGAUAAAUUAUUUUAACGAGAAUAAUAAAAUAAUAAUUAAAA
Molecule: long non-coding RNA, 1218 nt
Filed under: Helianthus annuus (common sunflower)
Lineage: Eukaryota; Viridiplantae; Streptophyta; Magnoliopsida; Asterales; Asteraceae
Description: hypothetical non coding rna
Source: RNAcentral